Molecule: ribosomal RNA, 550 nt
Filed under: uncultured bacterium
Lineage: Bacteria
Description: bacterial SSU rRNA
Rfam family: Bacterial small subunit ribosomal RNA
Source: RNAcentral
UAGGGAAUCUUCGGCAAUGGACGGAAGUCUGACCGAGCAACGCCGCGUGAGUGAAGAAGGUUUUCGGAUCGUAAAGCUCUGUUGUAAGAGAAGAACGAGUGUGAGAGUGGAAAGUUCACACUGUGACGGUAUCUUACCAGAAAGGGACGGCUAACUACGUGCCAGCAGCCGCGGUAAUACGUAGGUCCCGAGCGUUGUCCGGAUUUAUUGGGCGUAAAGCGAGCGCAGGCGGUUAGAUAAGUCUGAAGUUAAAGGCUGUGGCUUAACCAUAGUAGGCUUUGGAAACUGUUUAACUUGAGUGCAAGAGGGGAGAGUGGAAUUCCAUGUGUAGCGGUGAAAUGCGUAGAUAUAUGGAGGAACACCGGUGGCGAAAGCGGCUCUCUGGCUUGUAACUGACGCUGAGGCUCGAAAGCGUGGGGAGCAAACAGGAUUAGAUACCCUGGUAGUCCACGCUGUAAACGAUGAGUGCUAGGUGUUAGACCCUUCCCGGGGUUUAGUGCCGUAGCUAACGCAUUAAGCACUCCGCCUGGGGAGUACGACCGCAAGGUUG